GUGCCAGCAGCCGCGGUAAUACGUAGGUGGCAAGCGUUGUCCGGAUUUAUUGGGCGUAAAGCGAGCGCAGGCGGUUUCUUAAGUCUGAUGUGAAAGCCUUCGGCUCAACCGAAGAAGUGCAUCGGAAACUGGGAAACUUGAGUGCAGAAGAGGACAGUGGAACUCCAUGUGUAGCGGUGAAAUGCGUAGAUAUAUGGAAGAACACCAGUGGCGAAGGCGGCUGUCUGGUCUGUAACUGACGCUGAGGCUCGAAAGCAUGGGUAGCAAACAGGAUUAGAUACCCUGGUAGUCCAUGCCGUAAACGAUGAGUGCUAGGUGUUGGAGGGUUUCCGCCCUUCAGUGCCGCAGCUAACGCAUUAAGCACUCCGCCUGGGGAGUACGACCGCAAGGUUGAAACUCAAAGGAAUUGACGGGGGCCCGCACAAGCGGUGGAGCAUGUGGUUUAAUUCGAAGCAACGCGAAGAACCUUACCAGGUCUUGACAUCCUUUGACCACUCUAGAGAUAGAGCUUUCCCUUCGGGGACAAAGUGACAGGUGGUGCAUGGUUGUCGUCAGCUCGUGUCGUGAGAUGUUGGGUUAAGUCCCGCAACGAGCGCAACCCUUAUUACUAGUUGCCAGCAUUUAGUUGGGCACUCUAGUGAGACUGCCGGUGACAAACCGGAGGAAGGUGGGGACGACGUCAAAUCAUCAUGCCCCUUAUGACCUGGGCUACACACGUGCUACAAUGGAUGGUACAACGAGUUGCGAGACCGCGAGGUUUAGCUAAUCUCUUAAAACCAUUCUCAGUUCGGAUUGUUGGCUGCAACUCGCCUACAUGAAGCCGGAAUCGCUAGUAAUCGCGGAUCAGCAUGCCGCGGUGAAUACGUUCCCGGGCCUUGUACACACCGCCCGU
RNAcentral lists this ribosomal RNA (892 nucleotides) under uncultured bacterium. RNAcentral's name for it is "bacterial SSU rRNA". It matches the Rfam family "Bacterial small subunit ribosomal RNA", at positions 505 to 1397 of the family's 1533-position model. The record is from RNAcentral.